AGAUCACUCUCUUUGUUAAUGGAGAGUUUGAUCCUGGCUCAGAGCGAACGCUGGCGGCGUGGAUGAGGCAUGCAAGUCGAGCGAAACACUUGGCCUGAAGUUCUUGAAGCCGCAAGGCAGAUGGGAUGGAUGGCUGUGUGUUUAGCGGCAAACGGGUGCGUAACGCGUGGGUAAUUUGCCCUCGAGCGGGGGAUAACACUCCGAAAGGGGUGCUAAUACCGCAUAAGCCCACGGCCUCUUUUGGAGGCCGAGGGAAAAGCCGGGGACCGUAAGGCCUGGCACUUGAGGAUGAGCCUGCGUCCUAUCAGCUAGUUGGUAGGGUAAUGGCCUACCAAGGCAUUUGACGGGUAGCUGGCCUGAGAGGGUGGUCAGCCACACUGGGACUGAGACACUGCCCAGACUCCUACGGGAGGCUGCAGUCGAGGAUAUUUUUCAAUGGGCGAAAGCCUGAAAAUGCGACGCCGCGUGCGGGAUGAAGGCCUUCGGGUCGUAAACCGCUGUCAGGUCGGACGAAUACCUGUUUCGUGAAUAACGGAAUCGGUUGACGGUACGACUAAAGGAAGCCACGGCCAACUCCGUGCCAGCAGCCGCGGUAAUACGGAGGUGGCAAGCGUUGCUCGGAUUCAUUGGGUGUAAAGGGUCGGUAGGCGGUCCAGUAAGGGCCCGGUGAAAUCCCGCAGCUUAACUGCGGAACGUUCGGGUAGACUGUUGGACUUGAGGGCUGGAGAGGCAAGCGGAAUUCCCGGUGUAAGGGGGAAAUCUGGAGAUAUCGGGAGGAACACCAGUGGCGAAGGCGGCUUGCUGGACAGCACCUGACGCUGAGCGACGAAAGCGUGGGGAGCAAACAGGAUUAGAUACCCUGGUAGUCCACGCUGUAAACGUUGAGGACUAGGUGUCGGCUCAAUGAGAGUCGGCGCCGCAGGUAACCCAUUAAGUCCUCCACCUGGGGAGUACGUUCGCAAGAAUGAAACUCAAAGGAAUUGACGGGGGCCCGCACAAGCGGUGGAACAUGUGGUUCAAUUCGACGCUACGCGUAGAACCUCACCCGGGUUUGACAUGCUAGAAGUACUGAACUGAAAGGGGAUGGACUCGUCAAGUCGAGAGCUAGCACAGGUGGUGCAUGGCUGUCGUCAGCUCGUGCUGUGAAGGAGCGCAACCCACGUCUGCUGUUGCCACCGGAAGCCGUAAGGUUUCCGAGCACUCUGCAGAGACUGCCGGUGAUAAACUGGAGGAAGGUGUGGAUGACGUCAAGUCAGUACGCUCCUUAUAUCCGGGGCUACACACGUGUUACAAUGGCACAUACAAAGGGGUAUGCCAACCCGUGAGGGGGAGCGAAUCCCAAAAAGUGUGCCCCAGUUCAGAUUGAAGGCUGCAAUUCGCCUUCAUGAAGACGGAAUCGCUAGUAACGGCGGAUCAGCUACGCCGCCGUGAAUACGUUCCCGGGC
Molecule: ribosomal RNA, 1445 nt
Filed under: uncultured bacterium
Lineage: Bacteria
Description: bacterial SSU rRNA
Rfam family: Bacterial small subunit ribosomal RNA
Source: RNAcentral